CAAUAGCGUAUAUUAAAGUUGUUGCGGUUAAAAAGCUCGUAGUUGGAUUUCUGCUGAGGACGACCGGUCCGCCCUUCGGGUGAGUAUCUGGUUUGGCCUUGGCAUCUUCUUGGUGAACGUAUCUGCACUUGACUGUGUGGUGCGGUACCCAGGACUUUUACUUUGAGGAAAUUAGAGUGUUUCAAGCAGGCAUACGCCUUGAAUACAUUAGCAUGGAAUAAUAAGAUAGGACCUCGGUUCUAUUUUGUUGGUUUCUAGAGCUGAGGUAAUGAUUAAUAGGGAUAGUUGGGGGCAUUCGUAUUUAACUGUCAGAGGUGAAAUUCCUGGAUUUGUUAAAGACGGACUACUGCGAAAGCAUUUGCCAAGGAUGUUUUCAUUGA
This 380-nucleotide ribosomal RNA is filed under the name uncultured eukaryote. RNAcentral's name for it is "partial 18S ribosomal RNA". It matches the Rfam family "Eukaryotic small subunit ribosomal RNA", at positions 592 to 976 of the family's 1831-position model. The record is from RNAcentral.